CUCUGGUCCUCUUCCUCCGUUGUCCUCUUCGGCACCCACAGGGUCCAGGAUUUUGUUGUAGAUCAGUUGUGGAGAACUGCAGAUUCAAAUGGUUGGAGAGCAUCUUCUGCACCACGCACCUAUUGGCCUCCCCCACCAACUGAAUCCGAGAGCAAUGGGUACUUGCGUGUCCGGUGCAAUGGUGGCUUGUCCCAACAACGAAGUGCAGUAUGAUUAACAUAUGAAACUUUGUCUCUAAAGUAGCAUAGUUCAUCAUGCAAGUUUUAUGUGUUCAUGGCAACAUAGCUGAGAGAUUUAAGGUUACUUCUGCUUUGCUUUUGCAGAUAUGUAAUGCUGGCGCUCUACCCAUGGAUUC
This is a long non-coding RNA of Triticum aestivum (bread wheat), 355 nucleotides long. RefSeq lists it as uncharacterized. The record is from RefSeq and is a predicted model, not a curated record. The transcript has 3 exons. NCBI's taxonomy places the organism in Eukaryota, Viridiplantae, Streptophyta, Magnoliopsida, Poales, Poaceae.